RNAcentral lists this ribosomal RNA (1404 nucleotides) under Quadrisphaera granulorum. Its description in RNAcentral is "bacterial SSU rRNA". It matches the Rfam family "Bacterial small subunit ribosomal RNA". The record is from RNAcentral. Lineage: Bacteria; Bacillati; Actinomycetota; Actinomycetes; Kineosporiales; Kineosporiaceae.
GUGCUACACAUGCAAGUCGAGCGGUGAACCCUUCGGGGGGAUCAGCGGCGAACGGGUGAGUAACACGUGAGCAACCUGCCCCUGACUCUGGGAUAGCCUCGGGAAACCGGGAUUAAUACCGGAUAUGACAUCGCCUCGCAUGGGGUGGUGUGGAAAGUUUUUCGGUCGGGGAUGGGCUCGCGGCCUAUCAGCUUGUUGGUGGGGUGAUGGCCUACCAAGGCGACGACGGGUAGCCGGCCUGAGAGGGUGACCGGCCACACUGGGACUGAGACACGGCCCAGACUCCUACGGGAGGCAGCAGUGGGGAAUAUUGCGCAAUGGGCGAAAGCCUGACGCAGCGACGCCGCGUGAGGGAUGAAGGCCUUCGGGUUGUAAACCUCUUUCAGCAGGGAAGAAGCGCAAGUGACGGUACCUGCAGAAGAAAAGCACCGGCUAACUACGUGCCAGCAGCCGCGGUAAUACGUAGGGUGCAAGCGUUGUCCGGAAUUAUUGGGCGUAAAGAGCUCGUAGGCGGUUUGUCGCGUCUGCUGUGAAAACGCGGGGCUCAACUCCGCGCCUGCAGUGGGUACGGGCAGACUAGAGUGCAGUAGGGGAGACUGGAAUUCCUGGUGUAGCGGUGGAAUGCGCAGAUAUCAGGAGGAACACCGGUGGCGAAGGCGGGUCUCUGGGCUGUAACUGACGCUGAGGAGCGAAAGCGUGGGUAGCGAACAGGAUUAGAUACCCUGGUAGUCCACGCCGUAAACGUUGGGCGCUAGGUGUGGGGCUCAUUCCACGAGUUCCGUGCCGCAGCAAACGCAUUAAGCGCCCCGCCUGGGGAGUACGGCCGCAAGGCUAAAACUCAAAGGAAUUGACGGGGCCCCGCACAAGCGGCGGAGCAUGCGGAUUAAUUCGAUGCAACGCGAAGAACCUUACCAAGGCUUGACAUGCAGGGUAAUCCGGCAGAGAUGUCGGGUCCGCAAGGGAUCUUGCACAGGUGGUGCAUGGUUGUCGUCAGCUCGUGUCGUGAGAAUGUUGGGUUAAGUCCCGCAACGAGCGCAACCCUCGUCCUAUGUUGCCAGCGCGUGAUGGCGGGGACUCAUAGGAGACUGCCGGGGUCAACUCGGAGGAAGGUGGGGAUGACGUCAAAUCAUCAUGCCCCUUAUGUCUUGGGCUUCACGCAUGCUACAAUGGCCAGUACAAAGGGCUGCGAGACCGUGAGGUGGAGCGAAUCCCAAAAAGCUGGUCUCAGUUCGGAUCGGGGUCUGCAACUCGACCCCGUGAAGUCGGAGUCGCUAGUAAUCGCAGAUCAGCAACGCUGCGGUGAAUACGUUCCCGGGGCUUGUACACACCGCCCGUCACGUCACGAAAGUUGGUAACACCCGAAGCCGGUGGCCUAACCCUUGUGGGGGAGCCGUCGAAGGUGAA